UGCAUUCCUGCACCCAGAGACCAGCCAGAGGGACUUUCCUGCCAAUCUGUGCCAUUGACCAGCCUGUGGAAAAGGGACCAUCUUACCAGCCUGUUGCAGAGGAACCAGCCAUAUAAUAGUUUUAAACAAAUCUCAACUGGGUUACCAUAAAAAAGAUGGAUUUUUCCUCACAUGCCAAGUUUGUGAAAUGAGCUGACAAUGCCCUUCUGCCCUUCAACAACAAAAUUCCACUUCUUCCAGUGAGAAGGAGGUCUUGGAUUGCGAAGAUGGAUCAGAAUGGAUACCUCCGCUGCCUCCUCAGUGCCCAGUGUCUGUACAUGCGCAGAAACCAGCAACGGAAGUGGACCAUUCACACACGUGUCUCUACCUCAAAGAAGCAUUUCUGAGGUGGCUCACUCCAUUGCAUGAUGUCAUGUUUCGGGGGGCAAAAGGCGGCAGUGAGUCAUGCUCUGGCACUGGUCUUCAGAAUUGCCACAAGUCGGAGGUCCAGGUGAGUGGGAGUCAUAAAUAAUCAGUGGCUAAGAAGUAGCGUGGACAACAAUUACAUUAAAACUGCUCAAAUGGCAGUAGCACAGACAGCUAUAAUGGAGGAGGGGAUACUUGUCUCAUUAGCAUGAAUACAUCCUGCUACUUGCCGACUGGUAAAGUGACGUGGUUCUUUCCCAAACACCCACCAAUAGCCAUUUAUUAAUAUUCCUCUAGAUCACAAAGGAGUCAUCUUCACGAAUAUGCUGCUAUGCUGCAAAAUGUAUCAAUGAACUAAAUUAGGACCAGUUGUGAACCAUCCAUUCAUCCCCAACUAUUAAAUGAAUGCAAAGCAAUUAAAUGUUUAUUUUGUUUAUAUAUCAUUAUUAAUUUUUUGCAUGAGAAUAUAUGUGUUUUUAUAUUAUUUACACAAGCUGUGGUAAGAAGGGACAUACCUUGCCGCAGCAAGUUAUUCUGUCUCCCACCUGCCUCGGAAAUGGUCUCUGACUGGCUCAGAGACCCCUGUGUUCCCCCGUCCACCUUUCC
This is a long non-coding RNA of Pseudophryne corroboree (corroboree frog), 1011 nucleotides long. RefSeq lists it as uncharacterized. The transcript has 5 exons. Lineage: Eukaryota; Metazoa; Chordata; Amphibia; Anura; Myobatrachidae. The record is from RefSeq and is a predicted model, not a curated record.